GUAGCUUGCUACUUUGCUGACGAGCGGCGGACGGGUGAGUAAUGCUUGGGAACAUGCCUUGAGGUGGGGGACAACAGUUGGAAACGACUGCUAAUACCGCAUAAUGUCUACGGACCAAAGGGGGCUUCGGCUCUCGUCUUUAGAUUGGCCCAAGUGGGAUUAGCUAGUUGGUGAGGUAAUGGCUCACCAAGGCGACGAUCCCUAGCUGGUUUGAGAGGAUGAUCAGCCACACUGGGACUGAGACACGGCCCAGACUCCUACGGGAGGCAGCAGUGGGGAAUAUUGCACAAUGGGCGCAAGCCUGAUGCAGCCAUGCCGCGUGUGUGAAGAAGGCCUUCGGGUUGUAAAGCACUUUCAGUCAGGAGGAAAGCGUGGUGGUUAAUACCCAUCAUGUGUGACGUUACUGACAGAAGAAGCACCGGCUAACUCCGUGCCAGCAGCCGCGGUAAUACGGAGGGUGCGAGCGUUAAUCGGAAUUACUGGGCGUAAAGCGUACGCAGGCGGUUUGUUAAGCGAGAUGUGAAAGCCCCGGGCUC
RNAcentral lists this ribosomal RNA (536 nucleotides) under uncultured Pseudoalteromonas sp. RNAcentral describes it as "bacterial SSU rRNA". It matches the Rfam family "Bacterial small subunit ribosomal RNA", at positions 75 to 610 of the family's 1533-position model. The record is from RNAcentral. Lineage: Bacteria; Pseudomonadati; Pseudomonadota; Gammaproteobacteria; Alteromonadales; Pseudoalteromonadaceae.